GGAAGUCGUAUUCUUGGCCUUGGCGAUCUUGGAGUUCAGGGGAUAGGUAUACCAAUUGGAAAACUUGACAUGUAUGUAGCAGCUGCUGGUAUCAACCCACAAAGAGUGCUCCCAGUUAUGCUUGAUGUCGGGACAAACAAUCAGAAGCUUCUAGAAGAUCCUCUUUAUCUUGGACUGCGACAACCUAGGUUGGAAGGGGAAGAAUAUUUGUCAAUAGUUGAUGAAUUUGUGGAAGCUGUUCAUGCUCGUUGGCCAAAGGCUGUUGUGCAGUUUGAGGAUUUUCAAGCAAAGUGGGCUUUUGAGACGCUGGAUCGCUAUCGGAAAAAGUUUUGCAUGUUCAAUGAUGAUAUACAGGGAACAGCUGGUGUUGCUCUUGCUGGGCUAUUAGGAACUGUUAGGGCACAGGGCCGGCCACUGACUGAUUUUGCCAACCAAAAGAUAGUGGUAGUUGGAGCAGGAAGUGCGGGGCUUGGUGUUCUUAAGAUGGCAUUACAAGCCGUUUCAAGAAUGGCUGGACCAUCAGCAGAUCCCCACUUUUUUCUUCUGGAUAAAAAUGGUCUUAUCACAAAGGAUAGGAAAGAUAUUGAUCCAGCAGCAUUACCAUUUGCUAAAGCCCAUCACGAGAUUGAGGGGCUAGGACUACAGGAGGGAGCAGGACUUGCUGAAGUGGUCAAAAAGGUG
This 681-nucleotide unclassified non-coding RNA is filed under the name Hevea brasiliensis (rubber tree). Lineage: Eukaryota; Viridiplantae; Streptophyta; Magnoliopsida; Malpighiales; Euphorbiaceae. The record is from RNAcentral.